RNAcentral lists this ribosomal RNA (877 nucleotides) under uncultured eukaryote. Its description in RNAcentral is "SSU rRNA". It matches the Rfam family "Eukaryotic small subunit ribosomal RNA", at positions 636 to 1469 of the family's 1831-position model. The record is from RNAcentral.
CGGUGUUCAACUGGCGUGUCCGCGGGACGUCCUGCCGGUGGGCUUAGCCCGCAAGGGCGGCCCAACUUCAAAUCCCAUCGCGGUGCUCUUCACUGAGUGUCGAGGUGGGCCGACACGUUUACUUUGAACAAAUUAGAGUGCUUAAAGCAGGCUAAAACUUCGCCUGAAUACUGUGUGCAUGGAAUAAUGGAAUAGGACCUCGGUUCUAUUUUGUUGGUUUUCGGAACCCCGAGGUAAUGAUUAAUAGGAACGGAUGGGGGCAUUCGUAUUGCGACGUUAGAGGUGAAAUUCUUGGAUCGUCGCAAGACGGACAGAAGCUAAAGCAUUUGCCAAAAACGCUUUCAUUGAUCAAGAACGAAAGUUAGAGGUUCGAAGGCGAUCAGAUACCGCCCUAGUUCUAACCAUAAACGAUGCCAGCUAGCGAUCCGUCGACGUUCCUCCGAUGACUCGACGGGCAGCUUCCGGGAAACCAAAGCUUUUGGGUUCCGGGGGAAGUAUGGUUGCAAAGCUGAAACUUAAAGGAAUUGACGGAAGGGCACCACCAGGAGUGGAGCCUGCGGCUUAAUUUGACUCAACACGGGAAACCUCACCAGGCCCGGACACCGGAAGGAUUGACAGAUUGAGAGCUCUUUCUUGAUUCGGUGGGUGGUGGUGCAUGGCCGUUCUUAGUUGGUGGAGCGAUUUGUCUGGUUAAUUCCGAUAACGAACGAGACUCUAGCCUGCUAACUAGGCGUAUUUUCGACAUCUCAAAGGUCCGUCGUCCCGGCCCUCGGGUCGUGGGCGUGCGCGAUUUUUACUGUCGGCGUACUAUCAAUUCUUCUUAGAGGGACAGGUGGCUUCUAGCCGCACGAGAUUGAGCAAUAACAGGUCUGUGAUG